UAGUCCACGCCGUAAACGAUGGAUACUAGGUGUCCGGGAAGUUAACCUCCUGGGUACUACAGCUAACGCGUUAAGUAUCCCGCCUGGGGAGUACGGUCGCAAGGCUAAAACUCAAAGGAAUUGACGGGGGCCCGCACAAGCGGUGGAGUAUGUGGUUUAAUUCGAAGCAACGCGCAGAACCUUACCUACCCUUAACAUUUCACGCUCGCCUCAGAGAUGAGGUUUUCUCUUCGGAGACGUGAGGAUAGGUGCUGCAUGGCUGUCGUCAGCUCGUGUCGUAAGAUGUCUGGUUAAGUCCAAUAACGAGCGCAACCCUUAUCCUUAGUUACCAGCAUUGAGUUGGGGACUCUAGGGAGACUGCCGGUGUUAAACCGGAGGAAGGCGGGGAUGACGUCAAGUCAUCACGGCCCUUACGUCCAGGGCUACACACGUGCUACAAUGGUAGAGACAGAGGGCAGCCACUUGGUGACAAGGAGCUAAUCCUUAAACUCUAAUCUCAAGUUCGGAUUGAAGUCUGCAACUCGACUU
RNAcentral lists this ribosomal RNA (528 nucleotides) under uncultured bacterium. Its description in RNAcentral is "bacterial SSU rRNA". It matches the Rfam family "Bacterial small subunit ribosomal RNA", at positions 791 to 1318 of the family's 1533-position model. The record is from RNAcentral.